This 292-nucleotide ribosomal RNA is filed under the name uncultured Acidobacteriota bacterium. RNAcentral describes it as "uncultured Acidobacteria bacterium partial 16S ribosomal RNA". Lineage: Bacteria; Pseudomonadati; Acidobacteriota. The record is from RNAcentral.
GGACUACAAGGGUAUCUAAUCCUGUUUGCUCCCCACGCUUUCGCGCAUCAGCGUCAGAACCGGUCCAGGUAGCCGCCUUCGCCACUGGUGUUCCUCCCAAUAUCUACGCAUUUCACCGCUACACUGGGAAUUCCGCUACCCCCUCCCGGCCUCAAGCACGGUAGUUUCAAAGGCAGUUCCUCAGUUGAGCCGAGGGAUUUCACCUUUGACUUACCACGCCGCCUACGCGCCCUUUACGCCCAAUAAUUCCGAAUAACGCUUGCCCCCUCCGUAUUACCGCGGCUGCUGGCAC